CUUCCUGGGCGAGGGGCGGACCUUGAGGCACACCUGCAGCUAAUCAGUUCAUUAGCCUUGCCUUUGCCUUGCUGGUGUGCCUUGCUGGUUAUUGUUUCCUGUUCCUUCCACGUUGCAUUAUAUUGCUUGACCGCCAAGUCGAGAAGAUAUCUGUUGUGGACUUUUCCAAUGAUCCGUGUGACCUGGCCUUUCCCCCCGCCGACCUCUGAGGUUCCCGCUCAUUGGCUAUGUUAUAUGGUGUUCAAAUAUGGUGAUGACAGACACCCUUGAAGAAUGCUUACCUUGAUUAGGAAACUGGGGUUGUGCCUGAGAGGCACAACUAUUAAUAUUAUGAUAAAGUCCUUGAUUUGCUAAAACUAAUACCAAAUCCAGUGUGUUCCAGCAUUAGAUAAAGAAAGUCAUGUUUUAGUGAGUCAAGUGCUCUAUGAAGAAGAGCAAAAUACGUGUAAUUA
Molecule: long non-coding RNA, 452 nt
Organism: Entelurus aequoreus (snake pipefish)
Lineage: Eukaryota; Metazoa; Chordata; Actinopteri; Syngnathiformes; Syngnathidae
Exons: 3
Source: RefSeq, a predicted model, not a curated record